GGACGAACGCUGGCGGCGUGCCUAAUACAUGCAAGUCGAGCGGACCGGAUUGGGGCUUGCCUUGAUUCGGUCAGCGGCGGACGGGUGAGUAACACGUGGGCAACCUGCCCGCAAGACCGGGAUAACUCCGGGAAACCGGAGCUAAUACCGGAUAACACCGAAGACCGCAUGGUCUUCGGUUGAAAGGCGGCCUUUGGGCUGUCACUUGCGGAUGGGCCCGCGGCGCAUUAGCUAGUUGGUGAGGUAACGGCUCACCAAGGCGACGAUGCGUAGCCGGCCUGAGAGGGUGACCGGCCACACUGGGGCUGAGACACGGCCCAGACUCCUACGGGAGGCAGCAGUAGGGAAUCUUCCGCAAUGGGCGAAAGCCUGACGGAGCGACGCCGCGUGAGCGAAGAAGGCCUUCGGGUCGUAAAGCUCUGUUGUGAGGGACGAAGGAGCGCCGUUCGAAGAGGGCGGCGCGGUGACGGUACCUCACGAGAAAGCCCCGGCUAACUACGUG
Molecule: ribosomal RNA, 502 nt
Filed under: uncultured Geobacillus sp.
Lineage: Bacteria; Bacillati; Bacillota; Bacilli; Caryophanales; Anoxybacillaceae
Description: bacterial SSU rRNA
Rfam family: Bacterial small subunit ribosomal RNA
Source: RNAcentral